AUUGAACGCUGGCGGCAUGCCUAACACAUGCAAGUCGAACGGCAGCAUGAUAAGAGCUUGCUCUUAUUGAUGGCGAGUGGCGGACGGGUGAGUAAUAUGUAGGAAUCUACCUAGAGGUGCGGGAUAACGUAGGGAAACUUAAGCUAAUACCACAUAAGCCCCAAGGGGGAAAGCAGGGAAUCCCUUGUGACCUUGCGCUAAUAGAUGCGCCUAAGUCGGAUUAGCUAGUUGGUGGGGUAAAGGCCUACCAAGGCGACGAUCUGUAGCGGGUCUGAGAGGAUGAUCCGCCACACUGGGACUGAGACACGGCCCAGACUCCUACGGGAGGCAGCAGUGGGGAAUAUUGGACAAUGGGGGGAACCCUGAUCCAGCCAUGCCGCGUGUGUGAAGAAGGCCUUAUGGAUGUAAAGCACUUUAAGCGAGGAGGAGGCUCUUUUGGUUAAUGCUCAAGAUGAGUGGACGUUACUCGCAGAAUAAGCACCGGCUAACUCUGUGCCAGCCGCCGCCGUAA
This 511-nucleotide ribosomal RNA is filed under the name uncultured bacterium. Its description in RNAcentral is "partial 16S ribosomal RNA". It matches the Rfam family "Bacterial small subunit ribosomal RNA", at positions 30 to 523 of the family's 1533-position model. The record is from RNAcentral.